GUUAUAGGAUCAAGCGACUAAGUGCAUGUGGUGGAUGCCUUGGCGAUCACAGGCGAUGAAGGACGCGGCAGUCUGCGAAAAGCCCCGGGGAGCUGACAACGAGCUUUGAUCCGGGGAUCUCCGAAUGAGGGAACUCCAAGCUUUAGCUUGAUCCAUGCGUGAAUACAUAGCGCAUGGAGGCGAACGCGGCGAACUGAAACAUCUCAGUAGCUGCAGGAAAAGAAAUCAACCGAGAUUCCGGAAGUAGCGGCGAGCGAAACCGGAACAGCCUGAAUUCGAUAUUGAGAAGAACACUGGAAGAGUCUGGAAAGGCUCGCCAUAGUGGGUGAUAGCCCCGUACGGGACGUUCAUCUCAAGGUACUGAGGAUUCGAAAAGUAGGUCGGGGCACGUGAAACCCUGGCUGAACAUGGGGGGACCAUCCUCCAAGGCUAAAUACUCGUGAUCGACCGAUAGCGUACUAGUACUGUGAAGGAAAGGUUAAAAGAACCCCGGGAGGGGAGUGAAAUAGAUUCUGAAACCGCAUGCAUACAAACAGUAGGAGCCCUUCGGGGUGACUGCGUACCUUUUGCAUAAUGGGUCAGCGACUUAUGUUAUGUGGCAAGCCUAACCGACUAGGGGAGGCGCAGCGAAAGCGAGUCCGAACAGGGCGAUUCAGUCGCAUGGCAUAGACCCGAAACCAGAUGAGCUAACCAUGGCCAGGCUGAAGGUGUGGUAACACACACUGGAGGGCCGAACCUACUGGUGUUGCAAAACCAGAGGAUGAGCUGUGGUUAGGGGUGAAAGGCUUAACAAAUCUGGAGAUAGCUGGUUCUCCCCGAAAACUAUUGAGGUAGUGCCUUGCGCAUGAGCUUCUGGGGGUAGAGCACUGUUAUAGCUAGGGGGACAUGGCGUCUUACCAAACUAUGGCAAACUCCGAAUACCAGAAAGCUUCGCGCAGGAGACAGAGCACCGGGUGCUAACGUCCGGACUCAAAAGGGAAUCAACCCAGACCGCCAGCUAAGGUCCCUAAUAUCAGCUAAGUGGAAAACGAAGUGGAAAGGCUAAAACAGUCAGGAAGUUGGCUUAGAAGCAGCCAUCCUUCAAAGAAAGCGUAAUAGCUCACUGAUCGAGUCCUUCCGCGCGGAAGAUGUAACGGGGCUAAGUUGAUAACCGAAGCUGCGGAUUCAUACUUUGAGUAUGAGUGGUAGGGGAGCGUUCUGUAAGCCUGUGAAGGUGGAUCGUAAGGUCUGCUGGAGGUAUCAGAAGUGCGAAUGCUGACAUGAGUAACGAUAAAGCGGGUGAAAAGCCCGCUCGCCGCAAACCCAAGGUUUCCUGCUCUACGUUAAUCGGAGCAGGGUGAGUCGGUUCCUAAGGCCAGGCUGAGAAGCGUAGCUGAUGGAAAUCAGGUUAAUAUUCCUGAACCGGCGUUGAAUGCGAUGGGGUGACGGAGCAGCCAGAGUGGACCGGGUGUUGGAUGUCCCGGCUUCCGAGCGAUGGGUGCCUGCAGGCAAAUCCGCAGGCGUAUACCCAGGACGAAGGAUCGGGCCUUCUUUUGAAGGCGAAGCCACUGGAAGCGCUUCCAGGAAAAACCUCUAAGCUUCAGUUCAACGGCGACCGUACCGUAAACCGACACAGGUGGGUGAGCUGAAUAUGCUCAGGCGCUUGAGAGAACUCGGGAGAAGGAACUCGGCAAAUUGACACCGUAACUUCGGAAGAAGGUGUGCCUUUGUAGCUUGACGGGAGAGAAACCCGGAGGGCGAAGAGGUCUCAGAGAAUCGGUGGCUGUAACUGUUUACUAAAAACACAGCGCUCUGCAAAGAUGAAAGUCGACGUAUAGGGCGUGAUGCCUGCCCGGUGCUGGAAGAUUAAUUGAUGGGGUGCAAGCUCCUGAUCGAAGUCCCAGUAAACGGCGGCCGUAACUAUAACGGUCCUAAGGUAGCGAAAUUCCUUGUCGGGCAAGUUCCGACCUGCACGAAUGGCAUAAUAAUGGCCACACUGUCUCCUCCCGAGACUCAGUGAAAUUGAAAUGUUUGUGAUGAUGCAAUCUCCCCGCGGCUAGACGGAAAGACCCCAUGAACCUUAACUGUAGCUUUGCAUUGGACUUUGAACCGAUCUGUGUAGGAUAGGCGGGAGGCUUUGAAGAAUGGACGCCAGUUCAUUCGGAGCCGUCGUUGAAAUACCGCCCUGAUUUGUUUGAGGUUCUAACCUGGGCCAGUAAUCCUGGCUGGGGACCGUGCAUGGUGGGCAGUUUGACUGGGGCGGUCUCCUCCUAAAGGGUAACGGAGGAGUGCGAAGGUACGCUAAUCACGGUCGGAAAUCGUGAGGAUACUGCAAUGGGAAAAGCGUGCCUGACUGCGAGACAGACAAGUCGAGCAGAUGCGAAAGCAGGUCAUAGUGAUCCGGUGGCUUCUGUAUGGAAGGGCCAUCGCUCAACGGAUAAAAGGUACUCUGGGGAUAACAGGCUGAUACCGCCCAAGAGUUCAUAUCGACGGCGGUGUUUGGCACCUCGAUGUCGGCUCAUCUCAUCCUGGGGCUGUAGCCGGUCCCAAGGGUAUGGCUGUUCGCCAUUUAAAGAGGUACGUGAGCUGGGUUUAAAACGUCGUGAGACAGUUUGGUCCCUAUCUACCGCGGGCGCUGGAAGAUUGACAGGGGCUGCUCCUAGUACGAGAGGACCGGAGUGGACGCACCUCUGGUGUAUCGGUUGUGACGCCAGUCGCAUUGCCGAGUAGCUAUGUGCGGAAGAGAUAACCGCUGAAAGCAUCUAAGCGGGAAACUUGCCUGAAGAUUAGUCUUCCCGGAGGCUUGACCUCCCUGAAGGGUCGUCCGAGACCAGGACGUUGAUAGGCCAGGUGUGGAAGCGCUGUGAGGCGUGAAGCUAACUGGUACUAAUUGCCCGUGCGGCUUGAUCCUAUAACC
RNAcentral lists this ribosomal RNA (2896 nucleotides) under Sutterella sp. AM18-8-1. Its description in RNAcentral is "23S ribosomal RNA". It matches the Rfam family "Bacterial large subunit ribosomal RNA". The record is from RNAcentral. RNAcentral also lists the same sequence under 1 other name. Lineage: Bacteria; Pseudomonadati; Pseudomonadota; Betaproteobacteria; Burkholderiales; Sutterellaceae.